RNAcentral lists this ribosomal RNA (255 nucleotides) under uncultured bacterium. Its description in RNAcentral is "partial 16S ribosomal RNA". It matches the Rfam family "Bacterial small subunit ribosomal RNA", at positions 524 to 776 of the family's 1533-position model. The record is from RNAcentral.
UACGGAGGGUGCAAGCGUUUGUCCGGAUUUAUUGGGUUUAAAGGGUGCGUAGGCGGCUAAUUAAGUCAGCGGUGAAAUUCCACAGCUCAACUGUGGAACUGCCAUUGAUACUGGUUGGCUUGAGUACAGAUGAGGUAGGCGGAAUUGACAGUGUAGCGGUGAAAUGCUUAGAUAUUGUCAAGAACACCUAUUGCGAAGGCAGCUUACUAAGCUGUAACUGACGCUGAGGCACGAAAGCGUGGGGGAUCAAACAGG